Molecule: ribosomal RNA, 824 nt
Filed under: Flavobacterium sp. 01xTSA28A_D01
Lineage: Bacteria; Pseudomonadati; Bacteroidota; Flavobacteriia; Flavobacteriales; Flavobacteriaceae
Description: bacterial SSU rRNA
Rfam family: Bacterial small subunit ribosomal RNA
Source: RNAcentral
GAGACCGGCGCACGGGUGCGUAACGCGUAUGCAAUCUACCUUUUACAGAGGGAUAGCCCAGAGAAAUUUGGAUUAAUACCUCAUAGUAUUAUAGAAUGGCAUCAUUUUAUAAUUAAAGUCACAACGGUAAAAGAUGAGCAUGCGUCCCAUUAGCUAGUUGGUAAGGUAACGGCUUACCAAGGCUACGAUGGGUAGGGGUCCUGAGAGGGAGAUCCCCCACACUGGUACUGAGACACGGACCAGACUCCUACGGGAGGCAGCAGUGAGGAAUAUUGGACAAUGGGCGCAAGCCUGAUCCAGCCAUGCCGCGUGCAGGAUGACGGUCCUAUGGAUUGUAAACUGCUUUUAUACGAGAAGAAACACUCCGACGUGUCGGAGCUUGACGGUAUCGUAAGAAUAAGGAUCGGCUAACUCCGUGCCAGCAGCCGCGGUAAUACGGAGGAUCCAAGCGUUAUCCGGAAUCAUUGGGUUUAAAGGGUCCGUAGGCGGUUUAAUAAGUCAGUGGUGAAAGCCCAUCGCUCAACGGUGGAACGGCCAUUGAUACUGUUAAACUUGAAUUAUUAGGAAGUAACUAGAAUAUGUAGUGUAGCGGUGAAAUGCUUAGAGAUUACAUGGAAUACCAAUUGCGAAGGCAGGUUACUACUAAUGGAUUGACGCUGAUGGACGAAAGCGUGGGUAGCGAACAGGAUUAGAUACCCUGGUAGUCCACGCCGUAAACGAUGGAUACUAGCUGUUGGAAGCAAUUUCAGUGGCUAAGCGAAAGUGAUAAGUAUCCCACCUGGGGAGUACGUUCGCAAGAAUGAAACUCAAAGGAAUUGACGGGG